This 400-nucleotide unclassified non-coding RNA is filed under the name uncultured bacterium. RNAcentral describes it as "contains 16S-23S intergenic spacer region". The record is from RNAcentral.
UCCCAGCCUGCUACGUACGAACGCGGAUUAUCCACGCUCUCACGCAAUAGGCUGGGCAGUUUUUCGUGACACUUGUAACACGAAACAGGGGUUGCGCUCGUUACCCCAAUUAAGGGAACGCCUCACGGCACGAGCUGACGACAACCAUGCAGCACCUGUGCUUACUGUUCUUGCGAAGGGCUAAUGUUUCCAAAAGCUUGCAAUAAGCAUUUCAAACCCUGGUGAGGUUCUUCGUUCAUUGUCGAAUUAAACCUCAUGUUCCACCGCUUGUGCGAGUCCCCGUCUAUUCCUUUGAGUUUUAAUCUUGCGAUCGUACUUCCCAGGCGGCAGGUUUAACGCGUUAGCUCCGCCACUCCGAGGGUCGAUACUCGAAACAGCAAACCUGCAUCGUUUAGGGCGU